Molecule: long non-coding RNA, 1767 nt
Organism: Canis lupus familiaris (dog)
Lineage: Eukaryota; Metazoa; Chordata; Mammalia; Carnivora; Canidae
Exons: 4
Source: RefSeq, a predicted model, not a curated record
CAGUGUCACCCUGUUCCAGUUUGCAUUUAUUAGGUACAGAAGUGGCCAGGUUUCCAGAUACCAGUGUCCUUCCUUCUUGCUGUCUCCUUAUCCAGCCCCAGCUCACUAAUAGAACACAAGUCCAGCUGUGCAUUAACCUCGGCAGGAGAGGCGUGGAUUGUACUGUGUACCUGGGGGUGUGAAGAAACCCAGCCAUCAGAGGGGGAAAGAAGAAAUGAUGAAGGCUGGGAUAAACCAAUCUUUAAUGAACUUAGACCCAUUGUACACACCCUAAUGCUAGCCCUCCCAGCAGCCCCGUGAGGAAGUGGCUGUCAUCCCACUGGACAGACAAGGUAAUGGGGCCUGGAGAGGUCAAGCAGGCCAUCCAAGAUGGCAGAACCAGGGCCGAGAGCCGGAAUGGAUCCAGGUCCCACUGCCCUUCCACAGGGCCAGCCCUCCACUGUGGAUCAGACCACGAGAGAAUGAAUACACAACGGAGCCCUCUCGUCUUCUCUCCUCUUCCAUGUGAUUGCCCGGGUGACUUCUAGAAUGAGGGAUUCAUUCAUUGAAGACAUGACCUGCAUGCCAAGCACCAAAGUGAGUGAGGCCUGACGGUGUGGCUCCCCUUCACAGCACCUACCAGGCUUGCUCCACAAAGCAUAAAUUCCACUAGGACUGCCUGCCUGAGAGGAAGUCUUUAGGACCAAGAAAGCUUGCCGAGACAGACAGCCAUCUGACAAGAACUGAGGCCAGAAAUGUGAUGGAGUAAAAGAAAACUUAGCGAUCUUGGCCAGGUAACUUAGUGGCUUCAUCAGGACUUGGGGGUGUCUGCACAAGGGAUGAAGACAUCAGGGAAAGGUGCAGGGAAACCUGAAGUUUGGAAGACACCACAGAGCCCUUGUUAACACUCCUGGAACCCUAACAAGCCACAGAGACAGGGUGCAACCACAGUGACUCAUGCCAGUUGAGUGGCUUACUCGCUCUGGAGUGAUCCGCACCUGGCUGGGAUUUUACCUUUGCUUCUCAGGACUCGUGUGACCACAGAUACGUCAAUCUUGUCCAGCCUCAGUUUUCUCAUCAGUAAAUUUGGGUAUGAAAAUAGUUUCGCUUUCUCCUGGAAUUAUUGUGAAGUGAUGUGAAGUAGUGCCUGGCACAUCAGAGUCCAAUAACGAACUAAGCUAUUAGUAUAUGAUGAGAGCAGUAUCAGGGCCACAGCCAGGAGUGUGGACAGGUGAUGGUCCCGGUUUAGGCACAGAGUAGGGAAUGCAUGCUUUCUGAUGCUGACUUUUCAUCAGAGCUGUGGCUUCCAAACUAGGCAUAGCUUUGGAAUAAGGCACCUAUUCUGGAUAUCCUGGUCUAGUUCAUUUCCCACCCUUACUCCUUUCUGCACACACCAGUCACUCAUUUUAUUGCUAAUCCCAGGGCACCAGAGUUCCCAGAAUGGCAUCAGGCCCUUGUCACAACCCUGGAGACAAUCCGUAACACAUUGUAUCUUCAGCCCCUCAAAGGAACAAGAGAAGUACAUACCUGAGAACCAAAUACCCUGAUUUCACCACUUUCAGCAAAUGUUUGUGGCACAAAAUAUGCUGUACUCUUAGCAAGAGCCAAAGGGCCUGAGCUUGUAAACUGCUAAGAAAGCUCCAUUUUCUUACUAAGAGGAUCAUUUCUUUGGCUGGAGCCCAGCAAAAAGCUCCCUGGAUCAUAGUGCUGACUACGAAUGAGCCUCAGGUGUGUCUACAUCUCACAGACAAGGAGAGUGACAGGUAAGUAAGGGAAUCCUGGCAAAUA